Molecule: transfer RNA, 71 nt
Filed under: Candidatus Kaiserbacteria bacterium CG10_big_fil_rev_8_21_14_0_10_49_17
Lineage: Bacteria; Candidatus Kaiseribacteriota
Description: tRNA-Gln
Rfam family: tRNA
About the family: Transfer RNA (tRNA) molecules are approximately 80 nucleotides in length. Their secondary structure includes four short double-helical elements and three loops (D, anti-codon, and T loops).
Source: RNAcentral
UGCCGGGUCGUCUAAUGGUAGGACACUGGUUUCUGGCACCAGUAAUCUAGGUUCGAGCCCUAGCCCGGCAG